UGGAGCUGGAGGAGGAUGACUUCAUCAUUCGGUUGACUCCAACGCCCUCCCCUCCCCUCCCCUGGAUGGCGCGGAGCGGCUCUGCACCACUGCCGGCCGGCUUAUUUCAGGAGAUCAACUGCACACAUGAGCGGCAGAGGGUCGCUUCGCGGUCUGGUCUGAGAUCAGUGGAUCUGUGCUCUUAACUAACGUUACUGCUGUCAACUCACUGGGUGGUGCAGCGUCAUAGGUUGCAGUACGUUGAGAAAGCAGACGUGACAUGGCCAGCGAAAAACAAUUGAAACUGUUUGGCUUUUUCAAACGAAAGGCAAAGGAUCUCUGGCGUAUAUCAAACAACAAAAGAGCAGUCAGGUGAUGGAGAGAAGGGAGAUCAACAGGAGGUGCUGAACAUUUGCUUAAUGAUACAUUACAUGCAACC
Molecule: long non-coding RNA, 418 nt
Organism: Alosa alosa (allis shad)
Lineage: Eukaryota; Metazoa; Chordata; Actinopteri; Clupeiformes; Clupeidae
Exons: 3
Source: RefSeq, a predicted model, not a curated record